This is a long non-coding RNA of Eriocheir sinensis (Chinese mitten crab), 509 nucleotides long. RefSeq lists it as uncharacterized. The transcript has 3 exons. The record is from RefSeq and is a predicted model, not a curated record. NCBI's taxonomy places the organism in Eukaryota, Metazoa, Arthropoda, Malacostraca, Decapoda, Varunidae.
GCUGCUCCUCCGAGGGGGUAGCACGUGUUCCUUGUCAGUGUCCGUGUUUUUAGUGAUUUUCGGUGGCCAUUUUCCUCCUUGGGUGUUGGAUUACUAACCAUUGACGGAGUACCAACCCGUGACCCCUGUGUGAAGAGGAAGCAGCUGGGAAAUGAAGGAAGAAGACAUGAGGUAUGUGGGCUGGGCAGCAAGAGGGGGAGGAGGACGAGGGGGCUCAUCCCCCCGCCCCUCCCUCCGCCGCCCCAGCCAGCCUCUCAUUUGCGUCUACUGUCACAAACACCGCCUCCAUCCUCCCAACGUGUCCCUUCCACAAGCUUAUAUGGACUAAGCUUGUGAGGUGUGCAACGUCUGCUGAUAAGGUAAGCUUGUAAUCUCUCAUAUGUUUCGUGGCUUCUUAACAGGCGGCUUAUAGUGUCCUAAUCAUUUCGGCCCCCAAGCACACACAUUUUGACAAGGCUUUCGUCGGAGUUUUGAGGCAUUUGCAGAGGUAGUUUUAUGCCCCCUUCUGG